Molecule: ribosomal RNA, 985 nt
Filed under: uncultured bacterium
Lineage: Bacteria
Description: bacterial SSU rRNA
Rfam family: Bacterial small subunit ribosomal RNA
Source: RNAcentral
UGNAAGUCGAGGGGUAGAGGAAGCUUGCUUCCUUGAGACCGGCGCACGGGUGCGUAACGCGUAUGCAAUCUACCUUUUACAGAGGGAUAGCCCAGAGAAAUUUGGAUUAAUACCUCAUAGUAUAUAUUAUUCGCAUGUUUGAUAUAUUAAAGUUCCAACGGUAAAAGAUGAGCAUGCGUCCCAUUAGUUAGUUGGUAAGGUAACGGCUUACCAAGACGAUGAUGGGUAGGGGUCCUGAGAGGGAGAUCCCCCACACUGGUACUGAGACACGGACCAGACUCCUACGGGAGGCAGCAGUGAGGAAUAUUGGUCAAUGGACGCAAGUCUGAACCAGCCAUGCCGCGUGUAGGAAGACGGUCCUAUGGAUUGUAAACUGCUUUUGUACGGGAAGAAACCCUCCGACGAGUCGGAGCUUGACGGUACCGUAAGAAUAAGCAUCGGCUAACUCCGUGCCAGCAGCCGCGGUAAUACGGAGGAUGCGAGCGUUAUCCGGAAUCAUUGGGUUUAAAGGGUCCGUAGGCGGUUUAAUAAGUCAGUGGUGAAAUCUGGUCGCUCAACGAUCAAACUGCCAUUGAUACUGUUAGACUUGAAUUACUGUGAAGUAACUAGAAUAUGUAGUGUAGCGGUGAAAUGCUUAGAUAUUACAUGGAAUACCAAUUGCGAAGGCAGGUUACUAACAGUUGAUUGACGCUGAUGGACGAGAGCGUGGGGAGCGAACAGGAUUAGAUACCCUGGUAGUCCACGCCGUAAACGAUGGAUACUAGUUGUUUGGAUUUAUCUGAGUGACUAAGCGAAAGUGAUAAGUAUCCCACCUGGGGAGUACGAACGCAAGUUUGAAACUCAAAGGAAUUGACGGGGGCCCGCACAAGCGGUGGAGCAUGUGGUUUAAUUCGAUGAUACGCGAGGAACCUUACCUAGGCUUAAAUGGGAGACGACGUAUUUGGAAACAGAUAUUUCUUCGGACGUCUUUCAAGGUGCUGCAUGG